GCAACGCUCCUUCACGCUUUGUCGCUCGUAUAAGCGCGUGGAACAAAGUUUUUGCCAGCAAUCUCCUUCUCCAACGUCAACUUGAUUUCUCCAGCUAGUCUUUGGUAUUAUUCCAAUUCUGUUUGACACUUCUGUUUGCACAAUCUUUUGUUCAUUUCUGGUUAGUGCAUUCUGUUUAGUCAUGGCUGAAAGUAAGUCUAUAGUUGAGACUGUUUCAGUUGUUAGCAAGAUUACUGAUCACAAGUUGAAUUGGACAAACAUUUUGGAUUGGAGAAAAACUAUCUGUAUCUAUUUACGAAGUAUUGAGAAGGAAGAACAUCUGACAAAAGAUCCUCCAACUACGGAUACUCGCCAAGCAUGGUUAAGAGAUGAUGCACGGCUAUUCUUACAAAUUCGCAACUCUAUUGAUAGUGAGAUCAUUCCCUCUGUGAAUCACUGUGAAUUUGUGAAGAACUUAAGGAUUAUUUAGAAUUCUUGUACUCGGGGAAAGGAAAUAUCUCUCCUGCUUAUGAAGUUUGCCAAAGCUUUUUAUCGUGCUAAAAAGAAGGACCAACCUCUCAAAUCUUACUUUAUGGAUUUCAAACAAACUUAUGAGGAGUUAAAUGUGUUAAUGCCCCUCAUCACUGCUUUGAAGGUUCAGCAAGUUCAACGAGAACAAAUGGCUGUCAUGAGCUUUCUUAUUGGUCUUCCACCAGAAUAUGAGACUGUUCACUCCUAGAUCUCAUCUGGAUUCGAGAUCUCUAGUCUUCAGGAUGUCUUCUCCCGUGUUAUGAGGAUUGAAAACCUCUCAUCACUACCUACUAGUAUUCCUGCAAGCGCUCUUAUCAGUCGAGGUCAAACUGAUAGUUGUGGGUCAUUUAACCGUGGUGUUUCUAAGCACGGGGAAGCUAACAAGGUGUCUAGUGUAAUAGUGUGUUAUUACUGCAAGGAGCUGGGCCAUACAAAAUGUACUUGUUGCAAGCUACAAAACAAGUAGUCAAGGAAUAAUUCCGCAUUGGUGGCAUCAUCAUCAACUGAUGACCAGUUCUCCAAGUAUCAAGAAUCACUAAAAUUUGCCUCAUCAACUAUGAGUGCUCUUGCUGCUACAGGUAAUAAUGAUAAAUGGAUCAUAGAUUCAGGAGCCAUUGAUCAUAUGAUAGGUAACCGUCAUCUCUUCUCCACUUAUAACUCAUACGCCAACGCAUCUAGCAUCACAAUCGCUAAUAACUCAUACUCUCAUGUCCUUGGCUCUGGCAACUGUUGAACCCACUCCUUCUAUUCACUUAUCUUCCAUGCUAAAUAUUCCUGACCUUGCGUAUAAUCUUCUUCUAGUAAACUCACUUGCCGUUUAAAUUGUUGUCUCACUCUUUUCUGAUCAUUGCUUGAUUCAAGAUCUUACGAUGAAGCAGAUUAUUGGUAGAGACUAUGAAUCUGGUGGCCAUUAUUUUCUUAAAGAUACGCUGCCUUGCUCAGUGGCUUGUUCCAGUGGUUUAAAUCCCUUUGAAGUACAUUAUUGUUUGGAUCAUUUGUCUUUGUCUUCCAUUGAAAAGAUUUAUCCUCAAUUUGCAAGUCGUGUCAGUUUGUGAAACAUCACUGCCUCCCU
Neltuma alba is the source of this 1582-nucleotide long non-coding RNA. RefSeq lists it as uncharacterized. The transcript has 2 exons. The record is from RefSeq and is a predicted model, not a curated record. NCBI's taxonomy places the organism in Eukaryota, Viridiplantae, Streptophyta, Magnoliopsida, Fabales, Fabaceae.